AUUCGAUUUCNCGUACGGUGAAACCUGCGGCAAGGAUCAUUUACACGAUGUCCAACAUUCAAAACCUGAAUCUUACUGUGAGGACCACGUCAAUCGCAAGUGCGAUGUGGACUUCAAAGGUAGUUUUCUGCAUCACUUCGGCGGUGUGGGGCUCUGCCACCUUUAAACCCUUUCACAACUUAUCUGGAAUUAUUAAUGCGAUUUCAUUACGAAAUCUUUAUAUCACAACUUUUAGCGAUGGAUGCCUCGGCUCGGGUAACGAUGAAGGACGCAGCAAAAUGCGAUAAGCGCCGUGAAUGGCAGAAUUCCGUGAAUCAAGAGAACGCUGAACGCAUACUGCACUUUUAGGUCACUCCUGAAAGUAUGUCUGUUUCAGGGCGAUAAUGCAUAAAUGCUCCCAAUAUUCACAGUACACGUUUGUGUGUGUGAUAUCGGGAUGCGUUGUUGUGCGUCAGUGCAUAGGCUUUGCGCCCACUGACGCAUUAAAUUGAAGUAGAUUUGUCAGCAAACUUUCGCUGCUUGGUUUUCUAAAUCUAAUAGUGAAAGUGAGGCGAAUUGGCUUACUUCUUCUAAAUUGCAGAGUAAUGUCUGCUAUUGUUGCUUUUCGCAUGAAAUUAGACAAGGCUACCCGCUGAAUUUAAGCAUAUCAAUA
RNAcentral lists this ribosomal RNA (652 nucleotides) under uncultured eukaryote. RNAcentral describes it as "eukaryotic LSU rRNA". The stretch from base 227 to 381 matches the Rfam family "5.8S ribosomal RNA". The record is from RNAcentral.